GUGACACGCGCAUGUUACAAAAACUCACAUGUAAUUUUAUUCCUAGAUUAGGUAAGUCUGACAUUAUUCAUUUGAUUAUUAUUAUUAUUAUUAUUAUUAUUAUUAUUGUUAUUAUCAGUAUUACAAGUAAGAAAUCUAAAUUAUGUCACAAUAAUACUUUCUUUAUGCUCUUAAUCAGAGUCUUUUCCAGUACCAUUAUGGCAACCUCAACAUAUUCUGAGUGUGACAGCUGCGAUGCCUGGUUUUUACCAGAAAGGACCACAAGUCCUAGUUGCUACAUAAACUACUCAUGAAAUCUGCCCCUUGAUGUGGGCACUUGAUUCCAGAAUGGACACGACAAGGCAAUUAGAAAAUAAUGAGGAGAUUGCUGGUUCAUCUGAACUUCCGGUGGAUAUCAGAGAUUGGGCUCCAGAUCAUGUGAGACAGUGGAUGAUUGAGAUAAAAGUGGACAAGGAAGAAGCAAAUAUUGUUUACAAUCAGAAAAUUAAUGGAGCUUGUCUUCUGCUUUUGAAGGAGCCUAAUCUCAGGGAACUAGGCCUGUCAAUGAAUGCAAUAAUACUGAUUGUUCACAAUAAAGGUCUUCUGAAACUAAAGACUCAACAGCAGAAUAAUGUGGUCACUCAUACUAGUAGCUUGAAGCCUUACCCUUUUAAUAGAUUUAAUGAAGCUCACAGGUACAGAGAAAACACUACUCUAGAUGUAACUGAAACUGGUACUAAAGACCUUAUUCAACCCUGUCAUGAAUUCAAAGGCUUCACCAACACAACAGAAAAGCACAGAAGGCAAAAAUACACUUUUGAACUCAUUCGAUUUGCAGCAGCUUGUAUGAACAGCCGCACAAAUGGCACCAUUCACUUUGGAGUUUCAGACGAUCCACACGGACAAAUUCUUGGAGUUGACAUCCCAAAAACAGAUGAGUUUGAUAAUCAACGGAAACAUGCAAUUGAAAAACAUUUUAAAUUGGAAAAGAAUGUUCAGGUAGCAAAGAUGUGCAUUAAACCUCCUCGAUUUGUUGAAGUUCUCAGAGCUGACAUGAUGUCCUCUGGAAAAAGUGUUAUUGAAGUGGAUAUAGAGCCAUCCUAUAAUGUCUGUCAAGACCUUUAUUUCAACACAUAUGAAGUCGAAAAAAGCCAAGAGGAACAAGAACUCAAAAAUAAAAACAAGAUGCCUGAGCCCAAAGCAACAGGCAAGAAAAAAAAUGAAAGCAAGUCUUUCUUUAUAAGAGAUGGCAGCAGCAGUAAGAAUAUCAUAACAUCUGAUUCCUCAAAGGAGUAUGAGAAAUAUCUUGCUAACAUGGAACAUUUAUCCCAGCUAAGGAAGGAAGCUGAAGAAAAGCAUCUUUCCGUUGUCAAAACCAGUGUCCAAGGCUCUAAACUCUGUGAGAUGAUAACAGGAGGGACACAAUCUUUGGACAGGUCACACUUUGAAUCGUACAUUGUGGUGGCCAACAAGUCUCAUCCAGUUCAGCUGGAAAACUUCAGUUUCCUUCUUUACAUGGACCUACUGGCUGUUUUGGAUUUUGAUCCAGAAUCUGCUGAACAUGGCUUGAAUACAUUAUUUGAAAAGAAAAAAAUAAAUCAUCAUUUACCAACUGAGUAUAAACUCACAGGAGUAGUUGAGGACAUAGCAGACAAGCUAAAACUUACCAAGAAUACAAGUUGGGUUUUUUGUAAUGGAGGAAUUAAAAAUGAAAGCCCCUCUGAUGCUGAUAACUGGUUGACUGAAAAAGGAUCCUCUGUGCGUGAUGUUGUUUCUUUCCUGUGCCGAAAAGAUGUGCUGCAUCAUAAAAAGUUUCUUGUCAUAUUCUUGCUAUUAAAUCAGGAAAGUGAUGCCAAUGGCCCUUUGCUUGAGACCUUCAAUAUGUUUUUACAGGAGCUUAAAGGAAGAAACCAAAUCUUAUGCAUCAGUGACAAUGCAACAUCAUACACCUACUGGAAGGAUCUCAUUCAGGGCCGCUAUAGAGUUGACAUCUCUAGGAGAUGCAUUUAUGAACUUAGUUUUGCUGAGGUCAAUGGCACGAUCCUUAGUUUGUGGUCAGAGAACCGCAAAUCAAAACGGUUUCUGCCUGGUUUUAGUGUUAGUAAGGUUUUGCUGGAACAUGAGGACUCAUUUGAUAUGCUGAGUAUUCUUUGUUUGAACCAGUGUGAAGGAGGAAAUGAGGACAAACAACAUCAUGAAGAAAUCUUUUAUAAGGGAGGGAAAGUGUCUUGGUGGAACUUCUACUUCUCAGAACAGCCCGGCUCAAUGCCGUUCAUCAAACGAGACAAGUUUGACUACAUUAUCAACACUAUUAUUCCAGAUAUAUGCAAUUUAGAAAGAUCUUGUGCAUUUUUCAACAUCUUCCAUCUUCCAGGCUGUGGUGCCACUACACUGGCCAUGCAUGUUCUCUGGACACUCAAGAAUAAAUUUCGUUGUGCUGUGUUGCAGGACUCAACAAAUGAUUACACUGCGGCAGCAGAACAGGUAGUGCAGCUACUAACAUAUAAGAAAGAUGAGGAACCCAAACGACUUCCAGUUUUGCUCAUGAUCGAUGACUUCCAAGAUAUAUCUGAUGUCAAAAAAUUCCAACUUCAAAUUGAGGAGGAAUGUCAGAGGCAAAAAAUUUAUUCAAAGUCUCCUCAAGUGGUUAUUGUCAACUGCAUGAGAGUUGAAUCCUUCGAACAAACUGAUGAUACAGUUUUCAUUGAAAACAAUUUAUCUGAAAAGGAACAGAAACUGUUUGAAGAAAAGCUAAAGGAGAUUGAGAAGACCAACAGAAACACUAAAACGUUUUAUGGAUUCAUGAUUCUAAAGUCCAACUAUUCUUCCACGUAUAUACAGGGUGUUGUAAAAAGCACCCUCAUUGGAUUCAAUCUCCAACACAAGCAUGCUCAGCUUUUUGCAGUUCUUGUCCUCUUGCAUGUCUACUGCAAGAAUGCAGUGCUGUCAGUCUCUACAUGUGAAGAGUUCCUUGGUUUGGAAACGAAAGCAGACUCUACAUCCUGCAAUGUGGAAAAUGGGUUCAAGAAGUUUUCCACUCUUUUGAAAAAAUGCCCGGUUGAUUAUAAAAUUUCCUUUGAGGGCGUGCGGGUGAUUCACUCAAGUAUAGCUCAACACUGCUUGAAGGAGCUUUCAGCUUCUCAUGGAGUGACGAAGGCAGAAAUCACUAACAUUCUGCUUACAACAGAGUUAUUUUACGAGUACACUCUGGGAAAACAAAAAUUAAUGCAGGAUGUUCACAGCAUGUUGGUGAGGAGGCAGAAUUCAGUUGAGGCUGAAGACUCCCUUUUUUCUCCACUUAUCCAAGAUAUAAUGAAAGAGACACCAGGGAUGGAAGAAACUGUUCUUCUCAAUGCAGUAAAGUGCUAUAGAAAAGAUGUAGCAAUACCCCAGCUUCUCGCCAGGUACUAUUACAUUAAGAAACAAGACUUUAGUAUGGCCAAGGAUUGGGCAAAGAAAGCCAAAGACCUUUCAGGGGAGAACUCAUACAUGUGUGAUACAGUAUCACAGGUAUAUGUGAAUGAGCUGAAAUGUGCUUUUCGCGAAGAUAAAGAUGAUCCCAUCAGCCCAAACAGUCUUGAUAGAUAUCUUACAUUGGCUAAGACGGCAACAGAAGCUUGCAAAGAAACACAACAAACAGCAAACAAAGAAGCCAUUACUCGACUGCAAAGACAAAAGGAUUAUACUACCUACAACACUGCUGGCCAUUUCUGUGAACUUCAAGUUGCAGCUACAGUCAUAGAAAUCCUGCAAAAGACACCACCGUAUAAAUCACAGUCAGAGCUAGCGGGAUCAAACACAAAACAGUCGACUGAUGCAGAGAGUGAGCCAUAUUACCAAGUACUGGGGAGGCAUGUCGACUUUCUAACUCAACAUAAAGCAAUGAUGAAGCAAGAUUUUGUUUUUCUUGAGACCUUUUUUGUCAACUUGGUUCCCUUUUUUGCCGGGAAAGACAAACAAAAAGAGGCAAUCAAGCACAAGGUUUGCAAAUAUUUUCAACAGUAUACUGAAGUCUUCUGUAAAAUCAAUUGGAGUGAGCUACGUAACAAAGAGUUUAUGAACCGACCAAAUAAAAUAGCUCAGAUUCAUGAAUGUCUGGAGAAGAACAGGGGUGAUACAUAUACUGGCCUUCUGGAAUACUUGUAUGAGGAAAAUUCUUCAUCAACUCUUGAAGAGAUCAUCCAGCAGUAUCGUUUCUUUCUGGAUCCCAAAACAGAGGACAGAGAAGUAAUGGAUACUAUCAACUUUAUUUAUGCCAAUGUAAUUCUAGCCAACAUCAAACCUAAAUCUCAGUACAUCAUGCCCUACCAAGACCUUCGUAAAUUGCUCCUGAAUUUAAUCACUUGGCCAAGAUCAUUCAGUGAGAUUCUGCCAUUGUACUACAUCUCAAUUGUGUUAUUAUGGCAAGAAGCCCACCGUGACUUGCCAACAUUUGUCUCACAAAUGAAGGCAUCAUAUUCAAAGGAGCUGAAACCUCUAUCUAAUGGAAAGAGAGCAGCGGUCCACUUUUACUUAGGAAAGGAUAGAGGUUAUGGUGGACUACUUUCCUAUAGGGAUAUUAACCGCUGUUUAGGACCAGGGGAGGACAUCUUAACUCAGUGGGACAAUGAAAAAAUAUGGAAGACAGUAAGAAACAGUAAGAAGCUUCAAAGAAUUUCAGGUGAAAUUCGCAACAAUUUGAUCUGGGUUGCCGAUGUGAAGGUUUAUGUUGAUCCAAUGUUUGUAACUCAGUUACGCAAAGGAUCUGGAGCCCGUGUGACAUUCUUCAUUGGAUUCUCAAUGAAUGGACCAGUGGCACUUGACAUAUUGUAAUUCAUAAGAAUCAACAGAAUGAUCUACAGAUCUACAAAUAUAUCUACAAAGACUAAACUUUCUUAAUUUCCAUUAAUACAAUUAAAACUCAAAGGGACUCAUGGACUGAAAGGUCUCUAAUUGUUUUGACAUGUUAUUUUAGUUUGCCUCGUUUUUAUAUCUUGUACAUACCAAUAUAAAGCAAUGUUUAAUCACUGACAUUGCAAGCUUGCAAGCUUUGUUUUAGCAGAAAUGUCAGAUUUGAUGUGAACCUUAUGCUUCCCAUAUGAGCAGGAUGAGCCUUUGGAACCCUAUUGGCUUGAGACUAAUGGUCUCAUUCACUUCCAUAAGUUUUAAUUGUAAAAACACCUUGUUAUGCAGCUUGAUGUUGCAAACUGAUAUUUUGUAAUUGCAUAACUUUUAGUUUUUUGUAUUGUCAUGAACACACUUGUUUGUCGGAAGUUCUAAACCGAUCACCGAAACAAGCGCACUUCUGCAUUGCAGAAUAAGGUCAAUAUUAGCAUUUGCAUGAGAUGUGACUAAGACACUGGUCACUGCCAGUAAAACAUUGAAUUCAAGAGAGACUUUUGUGCUGUACUUCACUUAAACUGGGUUUUCUACUGUUUGUUUGGGUUUUUACAAGUGUUUUACAUGUAUUUUGAGUUGUUUGGCAGUGUUUUUGGUCUUUGGAUAUGUAAUGAAUAGAAGAGGUACUGGUAUUUUGCUGUUUAUCCAUUUGUUCGGGAAUAAUGUUUAAGCAACAUUUUGCCCUUGUUUUUUCUAUUUACUUCUGUACAUUGUUUUUCUGUAAUAUGUGUAACAAAAAAAGUCAUAAAUCCCUGUUAACAAGCAGAAUAUAUCUAUGCCCUUGUGGUUGAAAGACAUAAUGUAUUUAAGUUAAAGGUUACCGAAUAAAUAUAUUUCUUAUCAGUUUUUUUUCUGACUGACACUCAUUCUUCUGCAUCUAGACAUGCCAGGUAUGUGUCUGAUAUACAAUUGCAUUUCAUAAUCAUAUAUAUAUAUAUAAUAAAAAAAAAAAUAAAAAAAAAUAUAUAUAUUCAUUCAUUCAUUUUCUUGUCGGCUUAGUCGCUUUAUUAAUCCGGGGUCGCCACAGCGGAACGAACCGCCAACUUAUCCAGCAAGUUUUUACGCAGCGGAUGCCCUUCCAGCCGCAACCCAUCUCUGGGAUAUAUAAAUAUAUAUAGUUGAAGUCAGAAUUAUUAGCUCUCCUUUGAAUUUUAUUUUUAUUUUUUUUAUAUUUCCUAAAUGACGUUUAACAGAGCAAGGACAUUUUCACAGUAUGUCUGAUAAUAUUUUUUUCGUCUGGAGAAAGUCUUAUUUGUUUUAUUUCAGCUAGAAUAAAAGCAGUUGAAAACUUUUUUUAAAAAUAAUUUUAAUGUCAAAAUUAUUAGCCAAUUUUAGCUUUUUUUUUUCAAUAGUCUAUGGAACAAACCAUCGUUGUACAAUAACUUGCCUUAUUACCCUAACCUGCCUAGUUAACCUAAUUAACCAAGUUAAGCCUUUAAAUGUCACCUUAAGCUAAAAGAUCAAAUAAAUCUAUUAUUAGAAAUGAGUUAUUAAAACUAUUAUGUUUAGAAAUGUGUUGAAAAAAUCUCUAUUAAACAGAAAAUGGUGGUGGGGUGGGGAUGGGGGGGUUGGGGGAGAGAAUAAACAGGGGGGCAAAUAAUUCAAGGUGGCUAAUAAUUCUGACUUCACUUUCAACUUUAUAUAUAUACACACACACACAAGUCAGAAUUAUUAGCCCCCCGCCCUGUGUGUGUGUGUGUGUGUGUGUGUGUGUGUGUGUGUGUGUGUGUGUGUGUGUGUGUGUGUGUGUGUGUGUGUGUGUGUGUGUGUGUGUGUGUGUGUGUGUGUGUGUCUGUGUGUAUGUAUGUAUGUAUGUAUGUAAGUAUAUAUAUAUGUAUGUAUGUAUGUAUGUAUGUAUGCAUAUAUAUGUAUGUAUGUAUGUAUGCAUGUA
Long non-coding RNA from Danio rerio (zebrafish), 6748 nucleotides. Lineage: Eukaryota; Metazoa; Chordata; Actinopteri; Cypriniformes; Danionidae. The record is from Ensembl.